This 497-nucleotide ribosomal RNA is filed under the name uncultured bacterium. RNAcentral's name for it is "partial 16S ribosomal RNA". It matches the Rfam family "Bacterial small subunit ribosomal RNA", at positions 28 to 507 of the family's 1533-position model. The record is from RNAcentral.
GAUGAACGCUGGCGGCGUGCCUAAUACAUGCAAGUCGAGCGAACGGACGAGAAGCUUGCUUCUCUGAUGUUAGCGGCGGACGGGUGAGUAACACGUGGAUAACCUACCUAUAAGACUGGGAUAACUUCGGGAAACCGGAGCUAAUACCGGAUAAUAUUUUGAACCGCAUGGUUCAAAAGUGAAAGACGGUCUUGCUGUCACUUAUAGAUGGAUCCGCGCUGCAUUAGCUAGUUGGUAAGGUAACGGCUUACCAAGGCAACGAUGCAUAGCCGACCUGAGAGGGUGAGCGGCCACACUGGAACUGAGACACGGUCCAGACUCCUACGGGAGGCAGCAGUAGGGAAUCUUCCGCAAUGGGCGAAAGCCUGACGGAGCAACGCCGCGUGAGUGAUGAAGGUCUUCGGAUCGUAAAACUCUGUUAUUAGGGAAGAACAUAUGUGUAAGUAACUGUGCACAUCUUGACGGUACCUAAUCAGAAAGCCACGGCUAACUCCGUG